GCCUGCAUGAAGUUGGAAUCACUAGUAAUCGCGGAUCAGCAUGCCGCGGUGAAUGCGUUCUCGGGCCUUGUACACACCGCCCGUCACACCAUGAGAGUCGGGAACACCCGAAGUCCGUAGCCUAACCGCAAGGGGGGCGCGGCCGAAGGUGGGCUCGAUAAUUGGGGUGAAGUCGUAACAAGGUACC
Molecule: ribosomal RNA, 187 nt
Filed under: uncultured bacterium
Lineage: Bacteria
Description: partial 16S ribosomal RNA
Rfam family: Bacterial small subunit ribosomal RNA
Source: RNAcentral